AGGAAUGUAUAGCAAUAGCUAGUUGCAUCAUUUUAAUGAUGAUGCAAUAUUGACUAUGUUGAAUAAAAUUCUAGGUAGAAUUAUGAUAAUGACAUUGUCUGCCUAUGUGUCUUGACCAAAUUACGUGCCAGCAGUCGCGGUAAUACGUAGAAGACUAGUGUUAUUCAUGUUUAAUCGGUUUAAAGGGUACCUAGACGGCAGAUCAAGCUUUCCGAGAGGAAAAAAAAAAAGGACUAAUUUGCUAGAGUUACUUACGAGGGGGCUUUAAAGUACUAAUGGUGUAGAGAUGAAAUUCUGUCAUACCUCUUUUCGAAAGAAAAAAUAUGGCACAGGUAUAGGCGAAGGCAUCCCCUUAUGUGAUAACUGACGUUGAGGGACGAAGGCUUUAUAUAAUGAACAGGAUUAGAUACCCCAGUAGUGGAAGCAGUAAAUGAUGAAUGUCAUAGAUUAGCUAGAUAGGUUCAUUCUAUAAAUGAAAGUGUAAGCAUUCCACCUCAUGAGUAAUUUGGCAACAUUGGAAUUGAAAUCAUUAGACCGUUUCUGAAACCAGUAGUGAAGUAUGUUGUUUAAUUUGAUGAUCCGCAAAAAACCUUACCACAAUUUGAAUAUUUAUAUUUUUUAUUGUUUUCUUAUUAAUUUUCUUCUCUAUAUUAAAGAAAUUUAAUGCAGAGGCAAUAAUAUAUAUUUACAAGCGUUGCACGGCUGUCUUCAGUUAAUGUCGUGAGACUUUGGUUAGAUCCAUUAAAUUAACGUAAACCCUUACUUUAUUUUUAGAUAGAGUUGUUCUCCACUAUAUUGGAUAAGAU
Molecule: ribosomal RNA, 806 nt
Filed under: Hypotrachyna sorocheila
Lineage: Eukaryota; Fungi; Ascomycota; Lecanoromycetes; Lecanorales; Parmeliaceae
Description: SSU rRNA
Rfam family: Bacterial small subunit ribosomal RNA
Source: RNAcentral